GUAAAAAGAGAGUAAAAAAAAAACUUUGGAGUAGGAAGGACUGAAGCAUCAGAACAGGAUGGAUGAGAAAAUAAAGUAGUAAACAUAGCAAAGGAGUCAAAGGAAAAGUAUGAACAUGCUACAGGUUUUGAAAAAAAGAGUGAAAGAAAGAGUCUAAACAUGGAGGUAGAGCGAAAUAAUAUGUCUACGCAGGGAGGUAAAGCAGAAAAAAGUGUCUAAACAGGGAGGUAAAGCAAAAGGAAGUCUGAACAGGACAGAGCAGUGAAAGGAAGAGACUUAACAAAAAACUAGAGCGAAAGAAAGUGUCUAAACAGGGAGGUAAAGCAAAAGAAAGAGUCUAACAGGGAGGUUAAGCAAAAGAAAGAGUCUAAACAGGGAGGUAGAGCAAAAGAAAGAGUCUAAACAGGGAGGCAUAGCAAAAUAAAGUGUCUUAACAGGGAGGUAGAGCAAAAGAAAGUGUCUAAACAGGGAGGUAGAGCAAAAGAAAGUGUCUAAACAGGGAGGUAGAGCAAAAGAAAGUGUCUAAACAGGGAGGUAGAGCAAAAGAAAGUGUCUAAACAGGGAGGUAGAGCAAAAGAAAGUGUCUAAACAGGGAGGUAGAGCAAAAGAAAGUGUCUAAACAGGGAGGUAGAGCAAAAGAAAGUGUCUAAACAGGGAGGUAGAGCAAAAGAAAGUGUCUAAACAGGGAGGUAGAGCAAAAGAAAGUGUCUAAACAGGGAGGUAGAGCAAAAGAAAGUGUCUAAACAGAGAGGUAGAGCAAAAGAAAGUGUCUAAACAGGGAGGUAGAGCAAAAGAAAGUGUCUAAACAGAGAGGUAGAGCAAAAGAAAGUGUCUAAACAGGGAGGUAGAGCAAAAGAAAGUGUCUAAACGGGGAGGUAAAGCAAAAGGAAGAGUCCAAACAGGGAGGUAGAGCAAACGAAAGUGUCUAAACAGGGAGGUAGAGCAAAAGAAAGUGUCUAAACAGGGAGGUAGAGCAAAAGAAAGUGUCUAAACAGGGAGGUAGAGCAAAAGGAAGUCUGAACAGGACAGAGCAGUGAAAGGAAAAGAAAAAGAAAAAGAAGGAGUGAUCAUAACAGAGAAUCAAAUGGCAGACUCUGAACAGGUAGAGCGAGGUUGGGUAGGGUGGAGAAGCAAACGGAAAAUUCUAAACAAGGUAGAAGAGUGAAGUAGGGUAAGUUAGAGUCUACAAGAAUUGAAACAGGGAGGUAAAGCGAAAGGGAAAUCUUGGAGUAGAUAUGUGGAGCAGGAAACAAGGAGAGAGAUGGGAAAAAGCAUUCAAAUACAGUAAGCUGGUAAAAUGUGAAUUCAAAUUAGAAGAACGAGUAAAAGGAGGAAAGUCAUGUUUCUGUCAGAAUUAUGUUAUUGUGCGAAACACAAACUUAUGCAAAAGCAGACAAGGCUCAAUAUAGGUCUAACAGGGUUAAGGAAGAGUUCUGGCACACAGGGUGAAGACAAUAUGUCAGCUGUUUUUAUUCCUGACAGUUUGUGCUAUCGUGGAAAUGUGAAGUGGGUCAUGACUGCAGGCUGUCUGUACAUCUCUACUCACAGCUCCUGGAGGUGCAUGAUUCACUCUGUAUGUUCAUAUGUAACUAAUUCUCUCUCUAUCUCUUUUUCUCUU
This is a long non-coding RNA of Astyanax mexicanus (Mexican tetra), 1618 nucleotides long. RefSeq lists it as uncharacterized. The transcript has 7 exons. Lineage: Eukaryota; Metazoa; Chordata; Actinopteri; Characiformes; Acestrorhamphidae. The record is from RefSeq and is a predicted model, not a curated record.